Molecule: unclassified non-coding RNA, 260 nt
Filed under: Hevea brasiliensis (rubber tree)
Lineage: Eukaryota; Viridiplantae; Streptophyta; Magnoliopsida; Malpighiales; Euphorbiaceae
Source: RNAcentral
GGUAAUUAAGCAGUUACUUUUUUUUUCUUUCUCUUGGUUAAAUUGUUAGGGUUCUAGUUUUCCUUGGGCAUGACUUCAUUGUACCAGUUGCCUGCUGGAUGCCAAGCGUUUAAGAUUGAGUCAUUUUGCUUAUUUUGCUGAAUUUGAGCCAGUUUGCUAAUGGCUGUGCAGUAAAUUGUGGACCAUUCCGGUAUUUAAUCCCUAUGCUUAAACCCUGCUUCCCAACCUACCCAACAUUUAAGUCAGGUUUUUCAUUGUAU